UGAGUUCAGGAAGUAGCUGCUGUAAAAGGAGAUUUUCUGGUACCAGCUGAGGAGCAUUUGUGGAGGAAUCAUGGAAGGUGUUUUUGUGGGGUGGCAGUUGACUUAGGAAGGUCACAGGGAAGAGGAAAGAGUGGUUGCUAAUGUCUAAUUUAGAUUUUGGUCUUUUUAGAGAGAGGAGGUGUAUGGACUGAUUCAGAUUUCUUCUGAAGGCAAGCAGUGACGAGGAAGUCAGAAGUUAAGAUAGUGAUAUUCCCAGAUAUUCCUCAAACCAGGGUUCAGAGUCUCCUCCUGGUGGGGUCAUGGAUUUAUACCUAUCUGAUGGUUUUGGAUGUGACCAGCAGCUGCAGAUCUCAAGAAGAUAUGUGGUGCAUCUUUUGCAAAGAUCAGGUUUGAUUGUAUCCAUAUCCUUUGAUGGAGGGAAAUGACCAUUAAAAAAUAAUUCCCCUUGUGAUGUUAUCCAGCAUGAUUAUAGAAAGUUCUGAUCUUAAAAAGGAAAAAGAACACAUAAAAAGUAAGAUAUUUGGGGCAUUUUUUUUCAAUGAUAACACAGGCUAAAUAUGUCUUCUUUCAUCAGUCAUGUAACUAUUGUUAAAAAAAAUGAAAAGAACUGGCAUCCUUUUAUUGUGAAGAAGGAGUAGUAUUUACUGGGGAAAAAAUGCUACUCAAAUGUAGUCAUUUAUUGCUUCAUCUUUGGAUUCACUAACAUUUCCACUUAUACAGUGUGGAGAAUCCUAUUAUUUGGGCCAUGUGGGAUACAGGAUUUGAUAAACAGUUUCCACUGACUGUUGAAAGAACUCUGCUUUUUGACUGCUGUGAUAUUUGUCUUAGCCAACAAUGAUGGAUACCAUUACAUAUCUUAAGUGUAAUAUUAGGACACAACUUCCUGUGAAGUAUAAACUUCAAAGGCAUCAUUGAUUCAUAUGUGCACAUAGUCAUGUGUUCUUUAAAAUUCCCUAUAAUCUAAAAAUUAUGGUGGCUCAUACACUAAAGCAAUAAAGAAUAAAAUGGCAAGGAUGUUUUCCUAUGA
Molecule: long non-coding RNA, 1027 nt
Filed under: Cyanistes caeruleus (blue tit)
Lineage: Eukaryota; Metazoa; Chordata; Aves; Passeriformes; Paridae
Description: lncRNA (ENSCCEG00000019338.1)
Source: RNAcentral